RNAcentral lists this long non-coding RNA (292 nucleotides) under Medicago truncatula (barrel medic). RNAcentral's name for it is "long non-coding RNA (MTRU_LNC005127)". The record is from RNAcentral. Lineage: Eukaryota; Viridiplantae; Streptophyta; Magnoliopsida; Fabales; Fabaceae.
UAUGGUCAAUAUUAGAUUCUAACUGGACGCCGCAAUGCAAAGUUGUGAUCAAAGCCUGCAUCAUCAAUUUAAUCAAUGUUAUUUGGUAUAGAAGGAAUACUAUCAGAUUUCAGGAUAAAGUGGUAAAUUGGAGAUCUGCGAUCAACAUGAUCAUAUCUCAAGUCUCACUAUCAGGGAAUCUUGCCUCAAAGACUGCUGCUGCUAAUAUUUUCGAAUUUACUAUCAUGAAAGCUUGUAAAGUGAACAUAAAACCUCCAAAGGUUGUUAUAGUCAAAGAAGUCAUUUGGGCUCC